CGGGUUGCGCGACGGCGAGAGGAUGUGCUGUGCCGGUUGCGGCGUGUCGCGGCGUGCGCGACCCAUCGCGAGUGACCGCUAGAAAGUGCGCCUUCAUUUCCUUGCGAAUGCUGCCUUGCGCCGUUAUCCGUCAGAGUCCGCAACUUUGCGCCUUCAUUCGUCUCUAUACGCAACGCGAGUUACCUCGCGCCUUCAUUCGUUUGCAUAUGCAACGGGGGUAACCUUGCUCAGCCCGGCGCCUUCAUUCAUCUGUGUAUGCAACGCGUGUGACAUUGCUCCUUCGUCCGUCUUCAAAUGCAACGCGAGUAAUCUCGCGCCUUCAUCCGUUCGCUUAUGCAACCCGGAUUAUCUUGCUCGACCCUAGCGCCUUCAUUCACCUGUGAAUGCAACGUGUGUAACUUUACGCCUUCAAUAGUAUGUGUAUGGAACGUGGAUAUUGGCUUCAUUGAUAACACGUGUAACGGUGCACCUUGAACAUGCAACGUGAUUAACCUCGCGCCUUCGUCCGACUGCGUAUACAAAGUGUUUAACUUUGCGCCUUCAUUCGGCUGCGUAUGCAACGCGGGUAACCUCGCGCCUUCAUCCGACUGCGUAUGCAGCGUGUGUAUCCUUCCGCCUUCAUUCGGCUGCGUAUGCAACGCGGGUAACCUUGCUCGGUCCCGGCCCGAUGAGGGUUCCGGCUCUGUUGACCCUCGUUGCCUGUGCCUUGUGCUCCGCGUCGGCGAGUGAGUUCCCCGACCGGGAGUGCUGUGAUCCGGUCUUCCCGCUGGCUGCCCUCUCGGCCUCCGUCACCCCGGACACCGCCGCCGCAGCAACUCCAGGUAAUUGCACAUUUACACGAGAUUCUUUGCAUGAAGCAAGCGAAAAAAACAUUGCUUGUUGUUCGGUAUACCUGUCACGACGAGCACGAGAUGUUGGCGAAUAAGGUAUUAAGACAGUCUUAAUUGGCAACCUGCUCUCCGAUAGUACGUGUACAAGGAAGCAAAAUAAAACCAAACAAAUUUCUCAUGCGCAUGUUCAUGUAAAUUUUAUUCACUGAAAAAUAAUUAAAACUCUCGAAUUAUUUGCCUUUAUAUUAAAAUAUUUAAAUAUCAAAGCAGAUAUUGCAACGUCCAAUCGCUCAAACUGCAUGCUUUCCCAUCAGGGAGAAGUUGAUACCUUGAGCAAUAAUUGACAGGUUGAGAAUGCGUUGUUGAUCAAGGCGCUGUGAUACAACUAUUCAGACUCUAUGGAUGUGCGUGUUGCAUGCGUAAAAAUUG
RNAcentral lists this long non-coding RNA (1259 nucleotides) under Bemisia tabaci. RNAcentral's name for it is "lncRNA ENSSSA1NGG009607". Lineage: Eukaryota; Metazoa; Arthropoda; Insecta; Hemiptera; Aleyrodidae. The record is from RNAcentral.